UACAGAGGUUCCAAGCGUUGUUCGGAUUCAUUGGGCGUAAAGGGUGCGUAGGCGGCGCUGUAAGUCGGAUGUGAAAUCUCAGGGCUCAACCCUGAAAUUGCAUUCGAUACUGCAGUGCUCGAGGACUGGAGAGGAGACUGGAAUUCACGGUGUAGCAGUGAAAUGCGUAGAUAUCGUGAGGAAGACCAGUGGCGAAGGCGGGUCUCUGGACAGUUCCUGACGCUGAGGCACGAAGGCCAGGGGAGCGAACGGG
Molecule: ribosomal RNA, 253 nt
Filed under: uncultured bacterium
Lineage: Bacteria
Description: partial 16S ribosomal RNA
Rfam family: Bacterial small subunit ribosomal RNA
Source: RNAcentral